CAGAGGGUGCAAGCGUUAAUCGGAAUUAUUGGGCGUAAAGGGCUUGUAGGCGGUUAAUUAAGUUAGAUGUGAAAUACCUGGGCUUAACCUGGGAUGUGCAUUUAAUACUGGUUAGCUAGAGUAAGGCAGAGGAGUGGGGAAUUCCUGGUGUAGCAGUGAAAUGCGUAGAGAUCAGGAGGAACAUCAGUGGCGAAGGCGCCACUCUGGGCUUAUACUGACGCUGAGGAGCGAAGGCGUGGGGAUCAAACAGGAUUAGAUACCCUGGUAGUCCACGCGGUAAACGAUGAAUACUAGCCGAUGGGGUGAGAACCUCAGUGGCGCAGCAAACGCGAUAAGUAUUCCGCCUGGGAAGUACGGCCGCAAGGUUA
RNAcentral lists this ribosomal RNA (368 nucleotides) under uncultured organism. RNAcentral's name for it is "bacterial SSU rRNA". It matches the Rfam family "Bacterial small subunit ribosomal RNA", at positions 526 to 896 of the family's 1533-position model. The record is from RNAcentral.